GCGGGCGUGGCGAAACUGGUAGACGCAACGGACUUAAAAUCCGUUGGGCGUAAGCCCGUGCCGGUUCGAUCCCGGCCGCCCGCACCA
Molecule: transfer RNA, 87 nt
Filed under: Alphaproteobacteria bacterium
Lineage: Bacteria; Pseudomonadati; Pseudomonadota; Alphaproteobacteria
Description: tRNA-Leu
Rfam family: tRNA
About the family: Transfer RNA (tRNA) molecules are approximately 80 nucleotides in length. Their secondary structure includes four short double-helical elements and three loops (D, anti-codon, and T loops). Further hydrogen bonds mediate the characteristic L-shaped molecular structure. tRNAs have two regions of fundamental functional importance: the anti-codon, which is responsible for specific mRNA codon recognition, and the 3' end, to which the tRNAs corresponding amino acid is attached (by aminoacyl-tRNA synthetases). tRNAs cope with the degeneracy of the genetic code in two manners: having more than one tRNA (with a specific anti-codon) for a particular amino acid; and 'wobble' base-pairing, i.e. permitting non-standard base-pairing at the 3rd anti-codon position.
Source: RNAcentral